Molecule: ribosomal RNA, 497 nt
Filed under: uncultured bacterium
Lineage: Bacteria
Description: partial 16S ribosomal RNA
Rfam family: Bacterial small subunit ribosomal RNA
Source: RNAcentral
GAUGAACGCUGGCGGCGUGCCUAAUACAUGCAAGUCGAGCGAACAGACGAGGAGCUUGCUCCUCUGACGUUAGCGGCGGACGGGUGAGUAACACGUGGAUAACCUACCUAUAAGACUGGGAUAACUUCGGGAAACCGGAGCUAAUACCGGAUAAUAUAUUGAACCGCAUGGUUCAAUAGUGAAAGACGGUUUUGCUGUCACUUAUAGAUGGAUCCGCGCCGCUUUAGCUAGUUGGUAAGGUAACGGCUUACCAAGGCGACGAUGCGUAGCCGACCUGAGAGGGUGAUCGGCCACACUGGAACUGAGACACGGUCCAGACUCCUACGGGAGGCAGCAGUAGGGAAUCUUCCGCAAUGGGCGAAAGCCUGACGGAGCAACGCCGCGUGAGUGAUGAAGGUCUUCGGAUCGUAAAACUCUGUUAUUAGGGAAGAACAAAUGUGUAAGUAACUAUGCACGUCUUGACGGUACCUAAUCAGAAAGCCACGGCUAACUACGUG